GGCAUUUAUCAGACAGAGAAGCGGCGAGCCAUUAAAAUGGAGGCAAUUUGACGAAAUAUCGAAGGACAAAAUAUCGAAGAUAAAAUACACUGCACUGUCUCACAACUUGAUGAAACUUGGUUGAAAUAUUCUUUAGCCCUUUAUGAUUAUGUAAAAGUAGAACAACUGGAUGAUAUUUGCGAGACUCGGCGAUAAAAAAGCAAACAAGAUGGCAAAGUAUGGCUGAAAUCGUGUUUUCGUGUGGGGUCUAUUAUAGUUUGGCAGUUAGGCGGUUUUGGCGCAUUUGAGAUGGCGGUUUUCGGAUUAUCUCAAUUUUCGUGGCGGUUUACGGUGAAGAAGUAAUCACUCGGUAAUGGAAAAUCGUUGAGCAUAGACUAUAUAUAUAACUCAUGAGCUCCAUUUGAAGAUUGGCUGCCAAUUCACAAAAAUAAAAGCCCAGACAAAGAAAUGAACGUGUCCACAAAACAAAACAAUUAUAUUUAUUUUUACCAUGCGAACCUACGUCAAGGAUCUUAUUGACGUUAACUAUUUUUUUAUUAUAAACGCCUGAACUCUGAAGUAUUUUGUUUUUAAUUUUCUUUGUUCAGAAAUGAAGGGAGGCAAAACAUUUCAAUUCCUACAGACAGAAUGUCUGUACUCCCCCACAAGCUUGCAAUAAUAGUUAGUUAUAGCUACGUGAAGUAUUGAAAUUCUUUUCAGAGAUACUGCAUGUGUUCUAUUUAGGUCUGCAACUUGCGAGGGGCAGCCCUGUAUUAGAAAAACUGAUGACGGUUACGGUUUUCACGAAGAAAACACGGGCGAUUAACGGUGAAGGAGACAAAAAUAGGACGGUUUGCGGAGCGACCAACCCCCUAUAAUAGACUCCCGUGAGGGGGGGGGGGGGUAAGUGAAAUAAAAUGUAUUAUAUUAAAAGAAAACAAUGACAAUCCUUAUGAAAUCCACAAUAAUUAUAUUGAUCUAAGCAUAGUUUUUCAUCCCAUAAUAAUUUUUUUUAGGAAAUAAGAAAAUUUAAUUUCUGCCAGGCAUAUUAAUUAUUUUGUGCAUAAUCAGCAAUUUACCUGGGGUGGUACAUAGUCAUUUUCUGGUAAAAUAUUAUUCUUAGACAAAUUUUUCCUUCCAAUGACCACCCCUAAAAGCAACCCUUCUAAACACUAUAAGCACUUCAGAAAGACUAUCGCUUUUUGUUUUCUGAAGUUAGAGCUAUGUCGACACUGCCGUUUCAGGGCGGGGUCAUUUUCAAGAAUUUCGUCCCGGAUUCAGGUUUUGGCACAUAUGCCAUGUUGACGCCAUUGGUCAUUUUACCCUAAAACAGUUGAGAUUACCUGUGCUAAAUGAAACGCAUACGAACUCAUAUACAGGUCCUAGACUUUGUAAAACAACAAAAUAUAUCUUUGCAAAAUGAACUUAAAACAAUUUUUUAGUGCGAGCUUGUACACGCACAUGCGCCAUCGAAGACCGUCCAUCACAUAAUGGAGGACAACUUUGCAUUUCGCUAUGUUCUCAAAUACCCGCGUGUAAAUAGUCGGGUGGAAUUAGUACCUCGCCUCGGGGCCGGGCUUACACCGUUGGCUCGGGGAUAAUAUACUUAUUAUAUAUUUCGAUCAUAUUUCACUUUCAUUCGAUAGCGAAUCGACCAGAUUUGAAGCUUGCGUAAAAAUCAUAUUUAGAAUCUUUUUUUUUAUAACAGGCGGUAAAUUAUAUCAUGUUAUAGAUAAUUUUAAUGCCAAUGACGAAGAAACAGUUUCCACUCCCCGAGCAAGUUAAAAAUUACACAUUUUGUUCAUAUUUAUUUUUUAUUCUCAGCUUUGUUUGUUUGGUUUUGGUUUUUUGGUUUUUUGGUUUUUUGGUUUUUUGGUUUGGUUUUUUGGUUUGUUUUUUUGGGUUUUUUUGUUUGUUUUUUUGUUUGUUUUUUUGUUUGUUUUUUUGUUUGUUUGUUUGUUUGUUUGUUUGUUUGUUUGUUUGUUUGUUUGUUUGUUUGUUGGUUUGUUUGUUUGUUUGUUUGUUUGUUUGUUUGUUUGGUUGUUUGUUUGUUUGUUUGUUUGUUUGUUUGUUUGUUUGUUUGUUUGUUUGUUUGUUUGUUUGUUUGUUUGUUUGUUUGUUUGUUUGUUUGUUUGUUUGUUUGUUUGUUUGUUUGGUUGUUUGUUGGUUGUUUGUUGGUUGUUUGUUGGUUGUUUGUUGGUUGUUUGUUGGUUGUUUGUUGGUUGUUUGUUUGUUGGUUGUUUGUUUGUUGUUUGUUGUUUGUUGUUUGUUGUUUGUUGUUUGUUGUUUGUUGUUUGUUGUUUGUUGUUUGUUUGUUGUUUGUUUGUUGUUUGUUUGUUUGUUUGUUUGUUUGUUUGUUGUUGUUUGUUGUUGUUUGUUGUUGUUGUUUGUUGUUGUUUGUUUGUUUGUUUGUUUGUUUGUUUGUUUGUUUGUUUGUUUGUUUGUUUGUUUGUUUGUUUGUUUGUU
Paramuricea clavata is the source of this 2445-nucleotide non-coding RNA. The record is from the annotation of a GenBank genome assembly. NCBI's taxonomy places the organism in Eukaryota, Metazoa, Cnidaria, Anthozoa, Malacalcyonacea, Plexauridae.